Molecule: non-coding RNA, 46 nt
Organism: Gorilla gorilla gorilla (western lowland gorilla)
Lineage: Eukaryota; Metazoa; Chordata; Mammalia; Primates; Hominidae
Source: Rfam
CAAACGGUUUUUUUAAAAGCCACGAUGUGAAUAUAUUGUAAAUUUU